RNAcentral lists this long non-coding RNA (1154 nucleotides) under Chloebia gouldiae (Gouldian finch). RNAcentral describes it as "Erythrura gouldiae (Gouldian finch) lncRNA (ENSEGOG00005018846.1)". The record is from RNAcentral. Lineage: Eukaryota; Metazoa; Chordata; Aves; Passeriformes; Passeridae.
UACUGCCAUAUUUCCAUUUUUUCCCCAUUACUUUUGGCCCCUUUUACCUAUUUAUCAGCCCCUUUUCCCAGUUUUUCAGCCCUUUUCCCACUUUUCCAGCCCUUUUCCCACUUUUUCCAUCCCCAUUUCCCACCCCGGCCCAGCGCCAGGUCGGCCAGCGCGAAGGAGGCGCGGGGCGCCGGGAUCAUCCUGCAACGACACCAUUGGCUCCAUUUUUGAGGUUCUUCCCGUUUUUUGGAAUUUUUUCCCAAUUUUUUCCCAUUUUUUGGGGUAUUUUUUCCCAUUUUUUCCCAAUUUUUUCCCAUUUUUUCCUCAUUUUUUUCACCAUUUUUUCCCGUUUUUUCCCCCACUUUUCUGCCAUUCUUCCAUUUUUUCCCACAAUUUUCAGCCCCUUUUUCCUUAUUUAUCAGCCCCUUUCCCAUCCCUUUUUCCCACAUUUUUCACCCACUUUUCCCUAUUUUCUAGACAGUUUUCCAUAUUUUUUUACAUUUUUCCAUCAUUUCUGGCCCUUUUUUCCCUAUUUUUCAACCCCUUUCCCAUCCCUUUUUCCCAAGUUUUUCACCCACUUUUCCCAGUUUUCCAUCCCCAUUCCCCACAUUUUCCGUCAUUUCCCCCAAUUUUUUGGGAGGUUUUCCCAAUUUUUCCUCAUUUCUCAGGGUUUUUUUCCCAAUUUUUUCCUGCUUUGUCCACCAUUUUUCCUUUUUCCCACAAUUUUUGGCCCUUUUUUCCUUAUUUUCCCAAUUUCCCACCCAUUUCUCCACCUUCCCCACUGUUUUUCACAUUUUCCAUCCCCUUUUCCCCACUUUCCACACAUUUUUCUACAUUUCCCGCCCAUUUUUUUCACAUUUUCCAUCCUUUUUUCCACAUUUUACCCCCUUUUCCAUAUUUUCCACCCCUUUUCCUUGUUUUCCACACAUUCUUCCCCAUUUCCCACCCAUUUAUUCACAUUUCCCACUCAUUUUUCCCCAUUUCCCAUUUUUGUUCACAUUUUCCAUCCCCUUUUCCCCAUUUCCCACCCGUUUUUUCACACUUUCCAUCCCCUUUUCCACAUUUUUUCCCCAUUUCCCACCCAUUUUUCCCACCCAUUAUUUCACAUUUUCCACCUAUUUUUUACAUUCCCCCUUCACCCCAUUUCCAACCCAUUUCCCCAUUUC